RNAcentral lists this microRNA (22 nucleotides) under Cordylochernes scorpioides. Lineage: Eukaryota; Metazoa; Arthropoda; Arachnida; Pseudoscorpiones; Chernetidae. The record is from RNAcentral.
CACAAUGGACCUGCUUGAUGCU